This 492-nucleotide ribosomal RNA is filed under the name uncultured bacterium. RNAcentral's name for it is "partial 16S ribosomal RNA". It matches the Rfam family "Bacterial small subunit ribosomal RNA", at positions 29 to 507 of the family's 1533-position model. The record is from RNAcentral.
AGUGAACGCUGGCGGUAGGCCUAACACAUGCAAGUCGAACGGCAGCACAGUAAGAGCUUGCUCUUACGGGUGGCGAGUGGCGGACGGGUGAGGAAUACAUCGGAAUCUACUUUUUCGUGGGGGUUAACGUAGGGAAACUUACGCUAAUACCGCAUACGACCUACGGGUGAAAGCAGGGGAUCUUCGGACCUUGCGCGAUUGAAUGAGCCGAUGUCGGAUUAGCUAGUUGGCGGGGUAAAGGCCCACCAAGGCGACGAUCCGUAGCUGGUCUGAGAGGAUGAUCAGCCACAAUGGAACUGAGAAACGGUCCAGACUCCUACGGGAGGCAGCAGUGGGGAAUAUUGGACAAUGGGGGCAAGCCUGAUCCAGCCAUACCGGGUGGGGGAAGAAGGCCUUCGGGUUGUAAAGCCCUUUUGUUGGGAAAGAAAAGCAGCAGGUUAAUACCCCGCUGUUCUGACGGUACCCAAAGAAUAAGCACCGGCUAACUUCGUG